CUUCCUGGGUACCUGCGGAAGGAUCAUUAAUGUAUACUGUCUGUCGAGCUUGCUCACAGACUUAUCAUAUCCAUAACACCUGUGCACUUGUCGGAUGGCUUAUGAAGACCGCAAGGUUGGAUCUAUCCAUCUACUUUACAUAACAAUCUAGUAACAAAUGUAGUCUUAUUAUAACAUAAUAAAACUUUCAACAACGGAUCUCUUGGCUCUCGCAUCGAUGAAGAACGCAGCGAAAUGCGAUAAGUAAUGUGAAUUGCAGAAUUCAGUGAAUCAUCGAAUCUUUGAACGCACCUUGCGCUCCCUGGUAUUCCGGGGAGCAUGCCUGUUUGAGUGUCAUGAAAACCCUCAACCUUAGAUUGGUUAACACCUUUCUUUGGCUUGGAUUUGGACGUUUGCCGAUGAUAAGUCGGCUCGUCUUAAAAGUAAUAGCUGGAUCUGUCUCGCGACAUGGUUUGACUUGGCGUAAUAAGUAUUUCGCUAAGGACAUCUUCGGAUGGCCGCGUUGCAAGACUAAAGACCGCUUUCUAAUCCAUUGAUCUUCGGAUUAAUAUUCUUGACAUCUGGCCUCAAAUCAGGUAGGACUACCCGCUGAACUUAAGCAUAUCAAUAAGCCGGAGGAAAGGAUCAUUAAUGAUUAACUGUCUGUCGAGCUUGCUCACAGACUUAUCAUAUCCAUAACACCUGUGCACUUGUCGGAUGGCUUAGUGAAGACCGCAAGGUUGGAUCUAUCAUCUACUUUACAUAACAAUCUAGUAACAAAUGUAGUCUUAUUAUAACAUAAUAAAACUUUCACAAGGAUCUCUUGGCUCUCUAUGAAGAAGCCGAAAUGCGAUAAGUAAUGUGAAUUGCAAAUUUGAAUCAUAAUCUUUGAACCCUUGCUUGGUUUCGGGGGAGCAUGACUGCUUUGAGUGUCAUGAAAAACUCACUUAUAUGGUUAACCUUUUCUUUUGGGCUUGGAUUGGAAAUUGCGAUGAAUAAGAUGCCCUUAAAUAAUAGCUGGAUCUGUCUCACAUGUUUGACUUGCAUAUAAGUAUUUGCUAGGCAUCUGAUGGCGCUCAGAUAGACUUUCAUCAUGAUGCAAUAGUAUCUGAACUGCUAAGAUGAAAUCGGUACUUAAGGUAUAGGGGAA
RNAcentral lists this ribosomal RNA (1129 nucleotides) under Naganishia diffluens. Its description in RNAcentral is "eukaryotic LSU rRNA". The stretch from base 183 to 336 matches the Rfam family "5.8S ribosomal RNA". Lineage: Eukaryota; Fungi; Basidiomycota; Tremellomycetes; Filobasidiales; Filobasidiaceae. The record is from RNAcentral.